RNAcentral lists this ribosomal RNA (157 nucleotides) under Pseudospiromastix tentaculata. RNAcentral describes it as "5.8S ribosomal RNA". It matches the Rfam family "5.8S ribosomal RNA". From Rfam's summary of the family: 5.8S ribosomal RNA (5.8S rRNA) is a component of the large subunit of the eukaryotic ribosome. Lineage: Eukaryota; Fungi; Ascomycota; Eurotiomycetes; Onygenales; Spiromastigoidaceae. The record is from RNAcentral.
AAACUUUCAACAACGGAUCUCUUGGUUCCAACAUCGAUGAAGAACGCAGCGAAAUGCGAUAAGUAAUGUGAAUUGCAGAAUUCCGUGAAUCAUCGAAUCUUUGAACGCACAUUGCGCCUCCUGGCAAUCCGGGAGGCAUGCCUGUCCGAGCGUCAUU